GUACUCACUUUGGCAGCACAUACUAAGAUCAAAAUUAUACAGAGAUUCUCAUGGCCCCUUUACAAGGGUGACAUGCAAAUUUAUGAAAUGUUCCACAAUGAA
Small nuclear RNA from Microtus ochrogaster (prairie vole), 102 nucleotides. The record is from Ensembl. NCBI's taxonomy places the organism in Eukaryota, Metazoa, Chordata, Mammalia, Rodentia, Cricetidae.